RNAcentral lists this ribosomal RNA (414 nucleotides) under uncultured bacterium. Its description in RNAcentral is "bacterial SSU rRNA". It matches the Rfam family "Bacterial small subunit ribosomal RNA", at positions 29 to 433 of the family's 1533-position model. The record is from RNAcentral.
AAUGAACGCUGGCGGCGCGCCUAAUACAUGCAAGUCGAGCGAGAAGACGUAGCAAUACGUUUGUAAAGCGGCGAACGGGUGAGGAAUACAUGGGUAACCUACCCUCGAGUGGGGAAUAACUAGCCGAAAGGUUAGCUAAUACCGCGUACGCUCCUUGGACUUCGGUUCAGGGAGGAAAGCGAUACCGUGGGUAUCGCGCUCUUGGUUGGGCUCAUGUCCUAUCAGCUUGUUGGUGAGGUAACGGCUCACCAAGGCUUCGACGGGUAGCUGGUCUGAGAGGACGAUCAGCCACACUGGCACUGCGACACGGGCCAGACUCCUACGGGAGGCAGCAGUAAGGAAUAUUGCGCAAUGGGCGAAAGCCUGACGCAGCGACGCCGCGUGGGGGAUGAAGGUCUUCGGAUUGUAAACCCC